RNAcentral lists this ribosomal RNA (506 nucleotides) under uncultured bacterium. Its description in RNAcentral is "partial 16S ribosomal RNA". It matches the Rfam family "Bacterial small subunit ribosomal RNA", at positions 28 to 523 of the family's 1533-position model. The record is from RNAcentral.
GAUGAACGCUAGCUACAAGCUUAACACAUGCAAGUCGAGGGGUAACGAGAGGAAAGCUUGCUUUCCUUGUCGACGACCGGCGCACGGGUGAGUAACGCGUAUCCAACCUGCCCCCAACUAGGGAAUAACCUUGCGAAAGUAAGACUAAUACCCUAUAAUUUCCUCAGAUGACAUCUGACGAGGAAUAAAGAUUUAUCGGUUGUGGAUGGGGAUGCGUCUGAUUAGCUUGUUGGCGGGGUAACGGCCCACCAAGGCAACGAUCAGUAGGGGUUCUGAGAGGAAGGUCCCCCACAUUGGAACUGAGACACGGUCCAAACUCCUACGGGAGGCAGCAGUGAGGAAUACUGGUCAAUGGGCGGAAGCCUGAACCAGCCAAGUAGCGUGCAGGAUGACGGCCCUAUGGGUUGUAAACUGCUUUUAUACAGGAAUAAAGUUAGCCACGUGUGGUUAUUUGUAGGUACUGUAUGAAUAAGGACCGGCUAAUUCCGUGCCAGCCGCCGCAGUAA